CCUACGGGAGGCUGCAGUGGGGAAUAUUGGACAAUGGGGGCAACCCUGAUCCAGCCAUGCCGCGUGUGUGAAGAAGGCCCUCGGGUUGUAAAGCACUUUCAGUGAGGAAGAACGCCUGGUGGUUAAUACCCAUCAGGAAAGACAUCACUCACAGAAGAAGCACCGGCUAACUCCGUGCCAGCAGCCGCGGUAAUACGGAGGGUGCGAGCGUUAAUCGGAAUUACUGGGCGUAAAGCGCGCGUAGGUGGCUUGAUAAGCCGGUUGUGAAAGCCCCGGGCUCAACCUGGGAACGGCAUCCGGAACUGUCAAGCUAGAGUGCAGGAGAGGAAGGUAGAAGUCCCGGUGUAGCGGUGAAAUGCGUAGAGAUCGGGAGGAAUACCAGUGGCGAAGGCGGCCUUCUGGACUGACACUGACACUGAGGUGCGAAAGCGUGGGUAGCAAACAGGAUUAGAUACCCUAGUAGUC
RNAcentral lists this ribosomal RNA (465 nucleotides) under Vreelandella stevensii. RNAcentral describes it as "partial 16S ribosomal RNA". It matches the Rfam family "Bacterial small subunit ribosomal RNA", at positions 338 to 795 of the family's 1533-position model. Lineage: Bacteria; Pseudomonadati; Pseudomonadota; Gammaproteobacteria; Oceanospirillales; Halomonadaceae. The record is from RNAcentral.